AUACUUACCUGGCAGGGGCAAUACCAUGAUCACAAAGGUGGUUUACCCAGGGCGAGGCUCUGCCAUAGCACUUGGGUGGUGCUGACCCUUGCGAAUUCCCCAAAUGUGGGAAUCUCGACUGCUUGGGGGC
This is a small nuclear RNA of Pygocentrus nattereri (red-bellied piranha), 130 nucleotides long. Its record names the gene U1. It matches the Rfam family "U1 spliceosomal RNA". From Rfam's summary of the family: U1 is a small nuclear RNA (snRNA) component of the spliceosome (involved in pre-mRNA splicing). Its 5' end forms complementary base pairs with the 5' splice junction, thus defining the 5' donor site of an intron. NCBI's taxonomy places the organism in Eukaryota, Metazoa, Chordata, Actinopteri, Characiformes, Serrasalmidae. The record is from Ensembl.